Molecule: ribosomal RNA, 880 nt
Filed under: uncultured bacterium
Lineage: Bacteria
Description: bacterial SSU rRNA
Rfam family: Bacterial small subunit ribosomal RNA
Source: RNAcentral
CAGACAUGCAAGUCGAACGCGAAAGUUCCCUUCGGGGAGCGAGUAGAGUGGCGCACGGGUGAGUAACACGUAGGUAAUCUACCUUUGGAUUGGGAAUAACAACCGGAAACGGUUGCUAAUACCGAAUAAUGCAGCGGCACCUAAUGGUGACAGUUGUUAAAGCGGGGGAUCGCAAGACCUCGCGUCUAAAGAGGAGCCUGCGGCGGAUUAGCUAGUUGGUAAGGUAAUGGCUUACCAAGGCGAUGAUCCGUAGCCGGCCUGAGAGGGCGGUCGGCCACACUGACACUGACAUACGGGUCAGACUCCUACGGGAGGCAGCAGUCGGGAAUUUUGGGCAAUGGGCGAAAGCCUGACCCAGCAACGCCGCGUGAAGGAUGAAAUCCCUCGGGAUGUAAACUUCGCAAGAACGGGAAGAAUAAGUGAGGGUUAAUAUCCCUUACGAUGACGGUACUGUUUGUAAGCUCCGGCUAACUCCGUGCCAGCAGCCGCGGUAAUACGGGGGGAGCAAGCGUUGUUCGGAUUUACUGGGCGUAAAGGGCGCGUAGGCGGCCACUGCAAGUCAGUUGUGAAAUCUCCGGGCUUAACCCGGAAAGGUCAACUGAUACUGCAGGGCUAGAGUGCAGAAGGGGCAACUGGAAUUCUCGGUGUAGCGGUGAAAUGCGUAGAUAUCGAGAGGAACACCUGCGGCGAAGGCGGGUUGCUGGGCUGACACUGACGCUGAGGCGCGAAAGCCAGGGGAGCGAACGGGAUUAGAUACCCCGGUAGUCCUGGCCUUAAACGAUGAAUGCUUGGUGUCUGGGGUUUUAUAGUCCCCGGGUGCCGUCGCUAACGCUUUAAGCAUUCCGCCUGGGGAGUACGGUCGCAAGACUGAAACUCAAGG